This 484-nucleotide ribosomal RNA is filed under the name uncultured bacterium. Its description in RNAcentral is "partial 16S ribosomal RNA". It matches the Rfam family "Bacterial small subunit ribosomal RNA", at positions 30 to 507 of the family's 1533-position model. The record is from RNAcentral.
AUUGAACGCUGGCGGUAGGCCUAACACAUGCAAGUCGAGCGGCUGCAGAGUACUUGCUCCUGGUUUCAGCGGCGGACGGGUGAGCAAUGCCUAGGUAUAUGCCAGUUAGUGGGGGAUAACGUCCGGACAUGGGCGCUCAUACCGCAUACGCCCUGAGGGCGUACGUGGGGAAUCUUCGGACCUUCCGCUCUUAGAUGAGCCGAGGUCGGAUUAGCUAGUUGGCGGGGUAAAGGCCUACCAAGGCGACGAUCCGUAACUGGUCUGAGAGGAUGAUCAGUCACACUGGAACUGAGACACGGUCCAGACUCCUACGGGAGGCAGCAGUGGGGAAUAUUGGACAAUGGGCGAAAGCCUGAUCCAGCCAUGCCGCGUGGGUGAAGAAGGUCUUCGGAUUGUAAAGCACUUUUGUUGGGAAGGAAAGGCAGCAAGUUAAUACCUCGCUGUUCUGACGUUACCAACAGAAUAAGCACCGGCUAACUUCGUG